UACGUAGGGGGCAAGCGUUGUCCGGAAUCAUUGGGCGUAAAGAGCGUGUAGGCGGCCCGAUAAGUCCGCCGUGAAAGUCCAGGGCUCAACCCUGGAAUGCCGGUGGAAACUGUCGGGCUGGAGUCCGGAAGAGGCGAAUGGAAUUCCUGGUGUAGCGGUGAAAUGCGCAGAUAUCAGGAGGAACACCAAUGGCGAAGGCAGCUCGCUGGGACGGUACUGACGCUGAGACGCGAAAGCGUGGGGAGCGAUCCGG
RNAcentral lists this ribosomal RNA (253 nucleotides) under uncultured bacterium. RNAcentral's name for it is "partial 16S ribosomal RNA". It matches the Rfam family "Bacterial small subunit ribosomal RNA", at positions 524 to 776 of the family's 1533-position model. The record is from RNAcentral.